This 2063-nucleotide long non-coding RNA is filed under the name Homo sapiens (human). RNAcentral describes it as "HSALNT0177442". Lineage: Eukaryota; Metazoa; Chordata; Mammalia; Primates; Hominidae. The record is from RNAcentral.
CGGGUUCACGCCAUUCCCCUGCCUCAGCCUCCCGAGUAGCUGGGAUCACAGGCGCCCACCUUGUCUGGCUCUUGAAUCCAUUCCUAACUUGACUUUUUUCCACGUCUACGUCCGCAUCCACGUCCUCUCACAUUGCUAAUCUCCCUUUCCAUAAGAGCUGUUGACAACAGAUUGGCCUUUUUCUUAAGCCUUCAAUUUACUUUCCUUUUUCUUUCCUGAGUUCUGCUCUUGCGGCCAGCCGGUGGGGCCGGACAACGGCACGGGCCCCGCCCCCGUGCACUGCCGCCUGUCUCUCCUGUUUUUUUCUGAUUUCCUUUUUACUUUCUUCUUUCCCUUCUCACACUUACUGUUACUUUCUCCUUUCCUUUUCCUUUGCUCUUCUCCUGGCGCCAAGUCCCUGGCCCCUUCUUUUUCCAGAUAGAGCCGGGCUGGGGAGAGGAACUUAAUGGUGGGCGUGCUUAGCUGCCGCGCUUGUGGCUUUUGCUCUUUCCCGUUUUGUUCCUUGGUCACAGUUAACAUACACCGUGGUGGCCACUUUUAUGGACUGGGUGGUAUUCAUGCCUGCAGCUUCCACUUGAUGUCACCCUGGGCUUGCCCUACGAAUGAAGUAUUCCCCAUAGGCUGAUGUUCAGCAGCCUCACAGUUAAAUGGGGUACAAAGCCGGAAUGCUUCACAGAGUCUCUUAUAAAACUGACUUAGGCUCUCAUCAGCUCCUUGAAGCACUUCUGAAAUCUUCUUUAUAUUCAUUGCUUUCCUUCUACCAACUCGUAGCCCCUGCAGAAGUGCCUCUUGGUACCUCUGCAAACGCUGAAGCUGAGUUUCAUCCUCUGGGUCCUAGUUGGGAUCCUGGUCAUCAUAAUAGAUAGGUCCUCGUGUCCCCCUGAGAGGCAUUUGCAUAGCUCCAGCACGGCCAGAUCUGAGAUGGCCCACUUGACUAUCUUGACCUCCUUCCUGGCCUCUCAAGGCUCUGAUCCUCCCCUUCGAGGUGAGACCUGGGGCAUGUUAGCUCCUGAAUCUGGUUCCUGGGGGGGCUGUCGGCCUCGGUAAAGCGGGGGUAGGCUGGGAUAUAUGGAGGAAGAAUUUCUGUUACCUUUGGUGGCUCCUGUAAAACUGGCUUCUCUUGCUGUCUCUGGGAUUCCCUUUUAACUCUGUGUCUGCCGGCAAAGCUGCUCUUAUUUUCACUUUUGGUUUUUUUUGCAAUAAGCUGUUAAACAGGCCUGGAUCAAUGCUGGGUUUGGCUAUAUUAUAUUUAACUAUGAGUCAAUAUAAAGAAAUUGAUCCAGGUACACUGGCUGUUCUCCAACCCUUGUCACCACCUUAAAUACAUGGCCAAUUGUUCCCUGUCUGUAGUUCCUUCGGUCAGCCAUCCAACACCAGAAGAGGGCAAUUCUAAUUCACCCAGAGUUCUCAACCUCUGAGGGGGUUAACUCUAUAAUCCCCUGCAAAACCUUUCUUAAGGUUCCGUAACAUGCACUCCCACAGAGUAAGUUUUGAUGUUUUGAUGACUUUCCUCCCAUUCCUCCCUUUACAACGCAGCACAUUCACUCUUGCCUACUCACUCUUCCUCUCGUUUCGACCAACCACACUGUCUCCUAUUAUGGGGGUUUUCAGAUGCUGCUUGGCUUUGGAGAGGUCCUUAUUCCUGCUGCAACUCUGAGCUGUAGGGCAGCUCCUAUUAGCCAUAUGCAGAUCACCACUAGUCUUAGUCGGCCCCACCCUUUCUCGGAGCACACAGUCUACACUAAGGGAUCUGUGACUCUUCACUUCGCAGCUGAUGCGCCUAAUGAGGCCUUUUCAUUCACACACUUCCACACACCUUCAGUUCCCAUGUUUGUAACUGGGGUGGCAAGCCACUCUCGCCCCCUCUAGUUCCCAGUUGGGGUGGCGAGCCACUCUUGCCACCUCCAGCUCCCUUCUGUCCAAGGGACGGGUCCUGCCUUGAGCCCCCAAAACCUUACUGUGGUUCCUGAAGCGCGUUGUUUCUGAAAUCAUCCUGUAGUCCCUCUUUAGGUUCCGUUUCGCUGCUGGGUAGGGGUGCCAGGUCACAGGAGAGCUGAUCUCCC